ACUCAAAUGAAUUGACGGGGGCCCGCACAAGCAGCGGAGCGUGUGGUUUAAUUCGAUGCAACGCGAAGAACCUUACCUGGGCUUGACAUGCGCGUGGUACGGACCCGAAAGGGCGAGGACCCGCGAGGGAGCGCGCACAGAUGCUGCAUGGCUGUCGUCAGCUCGUGCCGUGAGGUGUUGGGUUAAGUCCCGCAACGAGCGCAACCCUCGCCGCCAGUUACCACGUCUGGCGGGACCGCCGGGUCCAACCCGGAGGAAGGUGGGGAUGACGUCAAGUCAGCACGGCUCUUACGUCCAGGGCUACACACACGCUACAAUGGCCGGUACAACGCGCGGCGAGGGGGCGACCCGGAGCGAAUCGCAGCAAAGCCGGUCUCAGUGGGGAUUGCAGGCUGCAACCCGCCUGCAUGAACGCGGAGUUGCUAGUAACCGCGGGUCAGCACACCGCGGUGAAUACGUUCCCGGGCCUUGUACACACCGCCCGU
Molecule: ribosomal RNA, 485 nt
Filed under: uncultured bacterium
Lineage: Bacteria
Description: partial 16S ribosomal RNA
Rfam family: Bacterial small subunit ribosomal RNA
Source: RNAcentral